GCCAGGUAUGGUGGUACAUGCCUGUAAUCCCAGCAGCUAGGGAGGCUGAGGCAGGAGGAUCACGAGUUGAAAGCCAGCCUCAGCUACUUAGUGAGGCCCUACAACUUAGACCCUGUCUCAA
This 121-nucleotide small RNA is filed under the name Marmota monax (woodchuck). Lineage: Eukaryota; Metazoa; Chordata; Mammalia; Rodentia; Sciuridae. The record is from RNAcentral.